RNAcentral lists this ribosomal RNA (537 nucleotides) under Triticum aestivum (bread wheat). RNAcentral's name for it is "partial small subunit ribosomal RNA". Lineage: Eukaryota; Viridiplantae; Streptophyta; Magnoliopsida; Poales; Poaceae. The record is from RNAcentral.
AUGUUCACUGGGUACCCAGUGGUGGGCUUCCAGCACCAGAUCCAAGCGUCCGGUGCAUGUCUCGGUAGCCAAGAAGAUGCACUCCUCACCUCAUGCACAUGGGACCCACGCAUCCGGGGAACCUUCUUCUACACCAAUGGCUAUAGCAUCGCGCUCUCUAGGGUGCCAGCGUUCAUCGCCGACAUGCAACAGCUACGUGACCGUAGCCCGCUAUCCUUUUGUGGAAUCGACGCCAGUAUGGGAAUGCUCCUCUGCUACGUCAAGGCAUCCUCUGCCUACCUUGGCAAACCAGAGGACUCAAUCAACUUUGAUAUACCCUACUACCGGAGUUACAGCAAGGGUGAGCCCAACCCGCACUAUGACGUGCUCGAUGAGCUCCAGCAGAUGGCGCUGCACAAGUACAACGCCAUCCCGCACUGGGGCAAGAACCGCAACUUUGCCUUUGAAGGCACAAUGGUUGGGCAUGCGGUUGUGCAGCCUAACGACCCGAGUUCAAUUCCUAGAAUUGACAGGUUUUAUUCCGCACUACGGCUCUGA